Non-coding RNA from Pelobates cultripes (western spadefoot toad), 224 nucleotides. The record is from the annotation of a GenBank genome assembly. NCBI's taxonomy places the organism in Eukaryota, Metazoa, Chordata, Amphibia, Anura, Pelobatidae.
ACCAGGUCCAAUACUUCCCGGCCACGUCCUCCUCAUUCUGAUGGUCUGAGAGAGAAAAUGACAAUGUAUGCAGUGGUUAGCAUUCAGCGACUACACUCCGUAUUAUGACCAAUGCGUUCUUGGGGAAGUUUUACAAAUCCUUAGUUUUUUUCCAACCAUGGCAGGGGUACCAUCUGUAGUUCUACAGAUUAUUUUAUUGAUAUCUAUGCUCUGGUUUUCAAAAU